CCUACGGGGGGCAGCAGUGAGGAAUAUUGGUCAAUGGACGCAAGUCUGAACCAGCCAAGCCGCGUGCAGGAAGACGGCUCUAUGAGUUGUAAACUGCUUUUGUACGAGGGUAAACGCAGAUACGCGUAUCUGUCUGAAAGUAUCGUACGAAUAAGGAUCGGCUAACUCCGUGCCAGCAGCCGCGGUAAUACGGAGGAUUCAAGCGUUAUCCGGAUUUAUUGGGUUUAAAGGGUGCGUAGGCGGUCGGAUAAGUUAGAGGUGAAAUCCCGAGGCUCAACCUCGGAAUUGCCUCUGAUACUGUUCGGCUAGAGAGUAGUUGAGGUAGGCGGAAUGUAUGGUGUAGCGGUGAAAUGCUUAGAGAUCAUACAGAACACCGAUUGCGAAGGCAGCAUACCAAGCUACUUCUGACGUUGAGGCACGAAAGCGUGGGGAGCAAACAGGAUUAGAUACCCCAGUAGUC
Molecule: ribosomal RNA, 460 nt
Filed under: uncultured bacterium
Lineage: Bacteria
Description: partial 16S ribosomal RNA
Rfam family: Bacterial small subunit ribosomal RNA
Source: RNAcentral